This 503-nucleotide ribosomal RNA is filed under the name uncultured Glomus. RNAcentral describes it as "SSU rRNA". It matches the Rfam family "Eukaryotic small subunit ribosomal RNA", at positions 569 to 1074 of the family's 1831-position model. The record is from RNAcentral. Lineage: Eukaryota; Fungi; Glomeromycota; Glomeromycetes; Glomerales; Glomeraceae.
AGCAGCCGCGGUAAUUCCAGCUCCAAUAGCGUAUAUUAAAGUUGUUGCAGUUAAAAAGCUCGUAGUUGAAUUUCGGGAUCAAUAUGUCGGUCGUGCCUUCGGUACGUACUGGUAUCAUUGGUCUCUCCUUUCUGACGAACCAUGAUGUCAUUUAUUUGGUGUUGUGGGGAAUCAGGACUGUUACUUUGAAAAAAUUAGAGUGUUUAAAGCAGGCUCACGCUUGAAUACAUUAGCAUGGAAUAAUGAAAUAGGACGUUUGAUUCUAUUUUGUUGGUUUCUAGGAUCGACGUAAUGAUUAAUAGGGAUAGUUGGGGGCAUUAGUAUUCAAUUGUCAGAGGUGAAAUUCUUGGAUUUAUUGAAGACUAACUACUGCGAAAGCAUUUGCCAAGGAUGUUUUCAUUAAUCAAGAACGAAAGUUAGGGGAUCGAAGACGAUCAGAUACCGUCGUAGUCUUAACCAUAAACUAUGCCGACUAGGGAUCGGAUGAUGUUAAUUUUUAAUGA